Molecule: long non-coding RNA, 472 nt
Organism: Erigeron canadensis
Lineage: Eukaryota; Viridiplantae; Streptophyta; Magnoliopsida; Asterales; Asteraceae
Exons: 3
Source: RefSeq, a predicted model, not a curated record
AGGGACUUCAAUAUGUUGAUGAACGUCUCUUGGUAUAUUUAGGAAUCCCAGCGGGUCCGGGCAGAAGAAUCCUGCAAGCAUUAAAAUAUAGGAGGGGAUCCCCUCAAGUUGUUUCCAAUUGAAGCGUGAGAGUUUUUGUGAUGAAGAUAGGACAAAGACCUGUGUUAUUUUGGGUGAUAAUGUGGGCAUCUAUAAGCGGUGGCUAAUGAUUUAACUGAAUUUCAACAAAUGAGGAUAGAGGAAAGCUGCAUCUGGGAGGCAGAUGUAUAGUAUAAACUAGAAAGUGGUAUAUAGAUUGAUCAAUUUGAAUGUAUAGGUAGGGCUUGAAUUGUUGGAUGUAUAGAUACUGGUUACUACUACUCUGCUAGUCUGCUUAGCUACUUUGAGAGAACUUGUCCUUUAAAGAAAAGCUAACUUUUUUUUAAUCAAAAAAAUGUUUACUUUACUUGUAUAAAUAUAUAUACAGUCAAGA